UGGGGUGUAGCCAAGUGGUAAGGCAGCGGACUUUGACUCCGCUAUUCGUAGGUUCGAGUCCUCCCACCCCAG
Molecule: transfer RNA, 72 nt
Filed under: Fibrocapsa japonica
Lineage: Eukaryota; Raphidophyceae; Chattonellales; Chattonellaceae
Description: tRNA-Gln
Rfam family: tRNA
About the family: Transfer RNA (tRNA) molecules are approximately 80 nucleotides in length.
Source: RNAcentral